AUACUGUUAUGAAAAAUUGAGGAAAGAGGCCUUCGCAAGGACAGCUACGCGUUCUCUUCCUGGUUGAAAACAGCUGUUGUCACUACGACAACCAUAGACGCAUUCGGCUGAAGGUCGCCAGUUAACAUAGUGGCGAGUAAAUCCGAAACACCAGCAGCAUCUCAGGAUCAACAAGUGAAACUACGCGAAAGAACCUCCGGUCCAGGAUGGGUCUACCUAUUGUUUCCUCUGGUCCUGUUCUGCCUGCCUUGUGCAGUAAAGUAGAUAUUUACAUCAACUUGUCAGGCAAAGGAUCAACUUUCACUGGCAAAGACGUUAUCAGCAGGUCUGUUGCUGAAAGGAUUCUUUUGCAUAUUAAAGAUAAAGAUUGUGUGGCCAUGGAAGUCCGAUACCACAAGUCCUGUUACUGUCAGUUAACCAGGUUCUUGACCAAGUCCACUGCAACAGUUACUGGGACCACAGAAGAAGAAAUGUGAGAAAUGAGCCGGCCUUUGAUGUCAGCUACAAGAUCUUCUGUGAGCAGAUCAUCAGGCAAAUAAUCACUGUAAACCAAGAGGUGCUGAGGAUAAAUCAGCUAAGAAUGGCCACAAAUAUGAAUGAUGCAAGAUACAAAGCAUUCUGCAUGGCAUCUUCAGCUUUGCCAGAACUAUCCAUGCCUCCAACAUGUGACGCUCUACACCAACACUGCAAAAUGGCAAACUACCAAGCAGCAAUAAUGAGACAUUGGCUACGGUUACAUGAUGACUUCUCAUUCAGAAUGAAAUAAAUCUGAAUGAAAUCAUUCGAAAUUAAAGUUUUUCCAGGUAGUUUACAUGGGAAAUACUCAUUCCGAAUGAGGGUUUACAUGGGAGAUCAGUUUAAUUGCCUUUAUUAGGGUCUGUGCAAGGUUUGGGGCAGGAAAGGUUUCUGAUUGGAUAGGGGGCGGGGCAGAUGUUAUGUGUUUACAUUUACUGAAAAAAACACUGUAGUCCUCGCUCCGGAUAACAAGAUGCUUGACGACGCCAUUCUUAGUACCUUUUUCGGGCUUGUUUUGCUUAUAUUCUUGAAGCAGCAGUACAACAAGAACCUUGUUCUGCUAAUGCUUUGUCUGUUGACGAGGAGAAGAGAGGUAGAAGGUCGAAGAAGGGAGAUAGAAGACCGUGCUUUGGUGUAUGGAAACCGGUGAGUGCAACGAGUCCGACUGCUCUAUCUCAGCCCAUUGCUAUGCGCGCUAUAUACGUCAUCGCGCCAGUAGGGCAAGGAAACGAGCAUGAGCAGAAAGACCGGAAUGAACUUAAAGAGGAAUGAGCGUUUACAUGCACACAAAAUUCUUUCAUUCGGAAUGACAAACAGAAUAAACCACCCUUUUAAUAGGAUUUAAUUUUCAAUCGGAAUGACCAUUUUUCAAUCGGAAUGACUGUUUACAUGACCACUUUUAAUCGGAAUGGCCUUUCAUUCCGAAUGAAAGUGGAAUUAAACUGUCCAUGUAAACGUACUGAUUGUGCUGUCAUCCCAUCACGCUAUAAAUACAGAUUAAUUGUCUACAAAAUAAAAACCAGACGAAUUUCUUUACAAUCCAUAAUACAGAUCUUGUUAUCAGUCACUUCAUAUAGUGAGGAAUAUCAUAUCUUACCACGUCUUAGGCUUGCGUGUGUUUCUCCCUGUCUAUCCACAUUUGUAGUCCGGCUUUCAAGACGCAAAUAUCUCCAUAUUGUCCAGUUGACACUCCAUCAAACUUUGUAUGAUAAGACCAGCGCACUUCACCUUUGCGCACCCAGCGAAAUUGAGGCCUAAUUAUGCAUGCAUGACAGGGCAGUAGUCACCAUAUACAUAUACCCCCCCCUCCCCAAUAUAUAAUUGAAACUGAAAAACAACAACAAAAACGUUCAGGUCAGGUCAAAGAUAAGUGAUACUAUGUGAUAUGCAUUGUAUUAAGUUAUAGUAUGCCUGCAUUUAUUUCUUUAAUCAGAACACAAAAUGAACUUCCACUUAGCUAUAAUAAAAUGUUUUCUGAUUAAGACUGACAAUGACUCAGUGAAUACCUUACUCAGUUUUAUUUGAUUAAUGGUAAAACAAGUCUCUGUUCACAUUCAAAGGUAUUUGUGUGGGCAAACUGAUGAAAAUUAGUCUGUUGAUGACCACAGUGGAUUGUUCAGUCAUUGUAGAGCCAAAUUAAUUCAAAUUUACCCAUUGAACGGGUCACCUCAGCCAUCAUCACAACAACUGCCCCCCCUGAGAAAUUUGGCAGGAGCCACCACUGAGUGAGAAUUCUUUUUAGUUUGGCAUUGCCAUGUUCUUUUCUCUUGAUUUGAAUGGUAAGAGCUUAGGUUAGAAAAUUUGUCUUUUGUUUCGCAUUUCUUUUUUGCUAGGUAAGGUUAGGGUCAAUUGGUAUAUUUGUGUUAGCUGUUUUGGGCACUGUCCACCUCUGAGGACAAAUAAGCUGCUUUCUUUGUUGUUUAAAAUACUGUGUUACUGGCCUUUCUUGGGAGUGGGGAGAGUGAGGGAGUCGCAUCAUGUAAUGUCUAGGACUAGACCGGGGACAGAACAGAAUGCAGCGACUGUUUCACCUCAGACACUUGAGGAAAUUACCCUUAAAUACUGAGGAAUUUCUACUCCUACACCAUCGAGGGCAUCCCAAAAGGGAACAUAACUGCCUGGUACGGUAACAGUGCCGAACAGGACUGCAAGGUCUUUCAAAGUGUGAUUCAUUCAGCUAAACACACUAUAGGAACUAGUCUACCCUGCAUAAAGGAUGUUUACACCAGGUGCUGCAAAAUGAAUUAGGAAGAAGGCAAGCACUGAGAGGCUCAAAAAGAGCUUCUACCCUCAGGCUGCAAUGCUCCUAAAUGAUGACACAGCCUAAUCAUACACAUUUAUUCUUUAUAACAUUGUUUUUAAUGCACAAACUGAAAGUACCAAUGGGAUUACAUUUCACUGGAAUUGUGCCUUCUAUGAUUUAAUGUGACAAAGAAAUUGAGUUAUUGAUUGACUGACAAGACAAUCCAUAAAUGUGUACCAUGAUCAACAAAUAUGUCACUCCCCCAAACGUAUUUUUGUCAGUUGUGCUGUGUAAAGUCAUAUCCACAAAAUUACAGAGAGAUUUGCAAAUAUGUAUAAGGUUUUACAAAUGCUACCAGUUUCACCACAACAAAGACAUGUAAAGUCAUAUUUACGGUAUGUGUUUGUGGUUCCAUGUGCAAAUGUGAAAUAUCUGUGGAUCGCUUCCUGACAGUUUGUAGGUCAGCCAACAAUUGUGACUCCCCUUCUAUUUGUUUUGCAGAUUUUUGUCCAUUUCCUCCUGCAGCAGAUCUGUAUUUAAAAAGUUUACAGAUCUGAGAUGCAGUUAGUGCAGUUUCCAUGGGAAAACAUUUGUCAGGACUGUCAUCACACAGAAGUGGGCAUGGUUUCAUCUAAAGUACGUUGGUACAUUCAAGAAAAAACAAUAAGUGCAUUCAGGUCUGCCCUCGCGUGCGUGCGUGUGUAUCGCCACCUGCUGGCAAAGUUCCUACUGCACAUCUUAUCAUCUGUGGACUUUCCUGUACAGAUCUGCUGCGGUACAAAAUGGACACAACUUAUAAUCAAAUAGGAGUGAAGUCACAAAUGUCACAUGGCACACCAGCUGACAGGAAGCGAUUCACAAAUGUGCAAAACCUCUUUCACAUUUACAGUUUAAUCUACAACUGUGUAAAUAUGACUUCUUUUGUUGUGAUGAAUCACAUUUGUUAUGUCAUGUAUUUUGCAAAAUUAUGGUAUGCGUUCACCAUACCGUUAAUAUGACUUUACAGUACACAAAUUUCAUAAUAAUAAUAAUAAUACAUUGGCGUUAUAUAGCACUUUUCUGGAUACUCAUAGGGGCUUUACAAAGAAAACAACAAACAAAAAAAGACCCCACAAAUAAUAAUAAUAAGAACAGUAGUAGUAGUAGUAGUAAUAAUAAUAAUAAUGAUAAUACAUAAAGGAAAAAAAAAUGCUUGUGGAUAGUGAGAUAUCUGUGGAUCAUGGCACACUUUUGUGGAUUGUCUUCUGUGGGUUUUCAACCACUCAUGUCAGAUAAAAAUGUCCAUACUCAGUAUUACUUGUGUGAACAGAUCAACAAUCUGUGUGUUAAUGUGUAAUUUGUAAAUAUAAAACACCUUCCACAAAUAUAAAAAAAAAUAAACUCAAAAAAAAAAAUUUGAAAAAAACUUUAAUAUAAAACAGAUCUGCAAAUACACAGAGAAAGUCCAGACUAAAAGACAUUUGUGAAUAUAUUUAACUAAAUUACAAAUAAAUGAAAAGCAUGUUGCUGUUGAGCAGGUGAGAAAUGUUUUUAAAAGGUUAAAUCAGAGGAAGGCCACGGGACCAGAUAAUCUUAGCGCAUAAUCCUGAAAACUUUUGCAGAUGAGUUAGCACCUGUGUGGCAGCCUAUUUACAAGCGCUCAUUGAACACUGGUAGUAUUCCUCUCAUGUGGAGGACAUCACAUAUAAUACCUGUUGCUAAGGUGAAAUGUCUGCAGCAACCAAGUGAUUAUUGUCCCGUUGCCUUGACUCCUGUUGUAAUGAAGGCUUUGGAAAAAUUGUAGUUCAGGAGCUCAGUGACAAGCUGGGUGACAAGCUUGAUAGUCAACAAUUUGCAUACAAGCAUAAUCGCAGUACAGAGGAUGCUGUGGUCACCACAGCAUCCUCUGUGCGAUGCACCUUAUUCUGAAGCAUCUUGGCAUGCCUAAAACUACAGCUAGAGCUCUCUUUUUAGAUUUCACAUCGGCCUUUAAUACCAAAGCUCUAAUUGGUCAAGAUGGUUGAGAAGGAAGUAAAUGCCCAUCUAAUUCACUGGUACCACGCGUUCUUCAGAAAUAGGGUACAGAGAGUCAAAGUUAAUCAGACAUACUCCGCUCCUACAGUUACCAACAUUGGAGCGCCGCAGAGCUACCUGAGCUCUCCAUUUAUUUUCACACUGUACACUGACGAUUGUAGAACUGAUGGACAAAAUACAUUUAUUUUGAAGUUUUCUGAUGAUACUGUACUGUUGUCUUUGUUGGGGACUGAAGACGAUCCCAGUAUUCAUCAGGCUCAUACAGAUAGACUGGUGGAGUGGUGUGAGAAUAACUCACUUAUCAUCAAUGCAGAUAAGACAAAAUAAGUUAUUUUUGGUCUUCCAGAGAACUCAUAUCCUCCACCUCUCAUUAUCAAUAACACAAACAUUGAACAAGUUUUUUCCUACAAAUAUUUAGGCAUCUAUGUGGACGCUACUCUAUCAUGGAGUGCACACAUUGAUUAUAUUUGUAGUAAAAUACAACAACGUAUUUAUUUUCUUAGGAGACUAAGGUCUUUUGGUACAAGUAGACCUAUUCUGUUACUGUUCUUUCAAUCUAUUGUACUAAGUGUUAUGCAGUAUGGAGUUAGAGCAGAUAUUUAGCAGUCUCCCCAGUCGAGCUUUAAGUUGUACUGAGAGAGAACUACGUAUACCAUACACUAAGAUUGUAGGUCAAACACUUGAGCCAAUCUUUAAAGCCUCAGUGUGUAAAAAUGGUGAAUAACAGUGACAUCAGCGGUCAAAUUCUAGAUUGUAGCGCUCACUCGCACUCACUCACUCACUCACCCCUCCCGUCGGGUAAGUGACAGUGGCCUCGUAGGACAAAAAGCCUUGCGCAGACAGCAGAGUUUUUCGAGUUUUAUCCAGCGACGAGGUGAAUAUUUAUUUAGGAAUCUAAACCAUGUUACGAUAUGUUAUAGCUUAACAGUGAGAUACAGGUUAUAUGUGAGAUAAAUGUUAGGAGUGUUUUAUUUCUAAUUGUUUUGGUAACACGAGCAUUAGCACAAUAAUGCUAAAAUAACACGUUUUAUGUGAUAGUCACGGCACAGUGUGGCAAAUAUAGGUUGGUAUGAUUAUAAUAUAUGCGUUUCCAGAGUGUUCUUCCACAGGACACAGGGAGAUGAGGGAGAGGGAGAGGAGGAAGACCAGGGAGAGGAAGGGGGCGAGGGGGUAGAGGCGGUGCAGAAUGGCCAGGCGAAGAGGUGUGUCUCGGCUACCCAGAGGGAAGAGGAGGAGGAGAGGGCGGCAGCCUUCGCAGCAGCACGAGAGGAAUCAACAGAUUAGGCUGUAGGCUAGGCUAACCAUUUAGCUGUAGCUCUGAGAUAACGUUAGCCAAGGCUAGGAUAACGUUAGCACGUAAACGUAGCCGUCACUCGAACUUAGACGGGAGGGAAAAGUAGUUGCAAACAUGAAGCCAAAAUGAUUUUAAAAUAUCAGAUUUAAUUACCUGUCUAGCAGAAAGCAGGCAACCUCUGCAUCCCUUGUGAAAUCCUUUUCCUUCAGGAGUUCUUUCCACCUGGAAUAAACAACGCCUAUAUUCACUCGCGUUUUGUCCCAUCCUCACUUAUCUGAUCUUUUUCUUUUCUUUUAUUUGGUGGCGUGGUUUCCCUCUUACGGGGCAAAACAUAUGAUGUGGUCCUCCAUUUAAAGUGCGACAGAAUCAUAGAAGUACAAAGCAGGUUCACGCAGAAGCGCCCCGGAUUGAUCUUCACCUUAGCCGUCUCCAGUGAUGGCAAGUUCUAGGUAAACGUGAAAGGCGAACCACGUACAGUACAGGCCAAAAGUUUGGACACACCUUCUCAUUCAAUGCGUUUUCUUUAUUUUCAUGACUAUUUACAUUGUAGAUUCUCACUGAAGGCAUCAAAUCUAUGAAUGAACACAUGUGGAGUUAUGUACUUAACAAAAAAAAGGUGAAAUAACUGAAAACAUGUUUUAUAUUCUAGUUUCUUCAAAAUAGCCACCCUUUGCUCUGAUUACUGCUUUGCACACUCUUGGCAUUCUCUCCAUGAGCUUCAAGAGGUAGUCACCUGAAAUGGUUUUCCAACAGUCUUGAAGGAGUUCCCAGAGGUGUUUAGCACUUGUUGGCCCCUUUGCCUUCACUCUACGGUCCAGCUCACCCCAGACCAUCUCGAUUGGGUUCAGGUCCGGUGACUGUGGAGGCCAGGUCAUCUGCCGCAGCACUCCAUCACUCUCCUUCUUGGUCAAAUAGCCCUUGCACAGCCUGGAGGUGUGUUUGGGGUCAUUGUCCUGUUGAAAAAUAAAUGAUCGUCCAACUAAAUGCAAACCGGAUGGGAUGGCAUGUCGCUGCAGGAUGCUGUGGUAGCCAUGCUGGUUCAGUGUGCCUUCAAUUUUGAAUAAAUCCCCAACAGUGUCACCAGCAAAACACCAUCACACCUCCUCCACUUCACAGGUGUGCCUUAUCAGGGUUAAUUAGUGGAAUUUCUUGCUUUAUCAAUGGGGUUGGGACCAUCAGUUGUGUUGUGCAGAAGUCAGGUUAAUACACAGCCGACAGCCCUAUUGGACAACUGUUAAAAUUCAUAUUAUGACAAGAACCAAUCAGCUAACUAAAGAAAAACGAGUGGCCAUCAUUACUUUAAGAAAUGAAGGUCAGUCAGUCUGGAAAAUUGCAAAAACUUUAAAUGUGUCCCCAAGUGGAGUCGCAAAAACCAUCAAGCGCUACAACGAAACUGGCACACAUGAGGACCGACCCAGGAAAGGAAGACCAAGAGUCACCUCUGCUUCUGAGGAUAAGUUCAUCCGAGUCACCAGCCUCAGAAAUCGCAAGUUAACAGCAGCUCAGAUCAGAGACCAGAUGAAUGCCACACAGAGUUCUAGCAGCAGACCCAUCUCUAGAACAACUGUUAAGAGGAGACUGCGCAAAUCAGGCCUUCAUGGUCAAACAGCUGCUAGGAAACCACUGCUAAGGAGAGGCAACAAGCAGAAGAGAUUUGUUUGGGCCAAGAAACACAAGG
Molecule: long non-coding RNA, 7743 nt
Organism: Epinephelus fuscoguttatus (brown-marbled grouper)
Lineage: Eukaryota; Metazoa; Chordata; Actinopteri; Perciformes; Serranidae
Exons: 4
Source: RefSeq, a predicted model, not a curated record